AUAAUUUCUUUAAACAAUAAAAGCUGCUUUCUGUAAAGUGAUAUAUAGCGUUUUGUAAUGAAACCAGUGACCAGUCUAUGGAUCCUCUUAUAGACUUUAGAGAGGGAGACUUUUCUACUGAACAAAGUCCAAUCAAGCAGGAGAGACCAGCCUCCCCUGUACCCAGCUGUGUGUCCAUGAAGAGUGACCAGUCCAUGGGUCAUCCUAUACAUUUUAGGGAGGGAGACUUUUCUACUGAACAAAGAAACCAACAGGAGAGAUCAGAGUCAGAGAUUCUCAGUGGUCAGUCUUCCCAGAGUCAUCAAACAGACCUGGAC
Molecule: non-coding RNA, 317 nt
Organism: Salmo salar (Atlantic salmon)
Lineage: Eukaryota; Metazoa; Chordata; Actinopteri; Salmoniformes; Salmonidae
Source: RefSeq, a predicted model, not a curated record